Zootermopsis nevadensis is the source of this 68-nucleotide non-coding RNA. Lineage: Eukaryota; Metazoa; Arthropoda; Insecta; Blattodea; Termopsidae. The record is from Rfam.
CACGGUGGUCUAGCGGUUAGAACGCUGGUCUUGUAAUCCUGGGGUCUCGGGUUCGAUUCCCGGCGGUG